CCUACGGAAGGCUGCAGUGGGGAAUAUUGGGCAAUGGGCGCAAGCCUGACCCAGCAACGCCGCGUGAGGGAAGAAGGCUUUCGGGUUGUAAACCUCUGUCCUUGGUGACGAAACAAAUGACGGUAGCCAAGGAGGAAGCCCCGGCUAACUACGUGCCAGCAGCCGCGGUAAUACGUAGGGGGCGAGCGUUGUCCGGAAUUACUGGGCGUAAAGGGUGCGUAGGUGGCCUUUUAAGUUGGAUGUGAAAUACCCGGGCUUAACUUGGGGGGUGCAUCUAAUACUGGAGGGCUAGAGUGCAGGAGAGGAAAGCGGAAUUCCUAGUGUAGCGGUGAAAUGCGUAGAUAUUAGGAGGAACACCAGUGGCGAAGGCGGCUUUCUGGACUGUAACUGACACUGAGGCACGAAAGCGUGGGGAGCAAACA
Molecule: ribosomal RNA, 422 nt
Filed under: uncultured prokaryote
Description: bacterial SSU rRNA
Rfam family: Bacterial small subunit ribosomal RNA
Source: RNAcentral